AACAGGGGAUGUUUUCAGUGUGGGGCUAAAGGUCAUUUCAAGCGUGAUUGCCCCCAGUUAAACCAGAACCAGAAUCGCAACAACAACAAUAACAACAAUCAGGGAAAUGGCAACAACAAUAAUGGUGGGAACAACAACGGCAAUGAAGCAAGGGGUCGUGCUUUUGUGCUGGGUCGAGGUGACGCAAUGAAUGAUCCCAAUGUGGUUAUGGGUCGUUAGAUAUAUGGAGCUUGCACAGGGAGGGGCAGGUCGUUGUGGAGCAUGGAUCGUGGAUGCCAUGUUAAAACAUUUAAACACUUGA
Molecule: long non-coding RNA, 301 nt
Filed under: Helianthus annuus (common sunflower)
Lineage: Eukaryota; Viridiplantae; Streptophyta; Magnoliopsida; Asterales; Asteraceae
Description: sRNA HanXRQr2_Chr04g0150231
Source: RNAcentral